UGCUGUUGUCUCCACCUCUGCUCCGAUGACCCGACGCCAGCAGUCGCGACGCCUGACGCCGUUGCCCUGAAGACCAGCGACCGACGUCCUUGCUCGGCGCUAGAAGCCCCGACGCCCCUGCUGCUGGGUCCUCCUCUGCUCCCGACGCCCCUGCAAGUGCAUGCUGCUUUAUUCUUGGUUGUGAAUGUUGGAGCGAAAUUGGGUAUGAUGGAUGGAGGCUCGAUUUUGUUAGCGGCUUUUGGGGUGGCUAUGUCAAAGACUACUUGGAUGCUAGUGAACCUUACUUUGUUGUUGGUGAGUACUGGGAUUCCCUUAGCUAUACAUAUGGAGAAAUGGAUCACAAUCAAGAUGCACACAGACAAAGAAUUAUCGACUGGAUAAACGCUACAAAUGGCACAGCUGGAGCAUUUGAUGUCACCACAAAAGGAAUUCUUCAUGCCGUAAGCACUAUCACUGAUAGAUAGGCACUUUUUUAGAUGUUCUGGAAGCAUAGACACUCUGAUUAAGUGCACUGACUCUAGAUAGAGGAAAUUCAUUCGGUGUUUUGUUUUUCUUUUUGGAUGAGUAUGCAUACCAUGUCAAUUAAUUUGUUCACGUUAUGCUUAAAUUAGAGAUGUACAGCUAUUACACUGCUGGACCCGCUGUUAUUCAAGUAGUUAUGCUCUUGGA
Eucalyptus grandis is the source of this 669-nucleotide long non-coding RNA. RefSeq lists it as uncharacterized. The transcript has 2 exons. The record is from RefSeq and is a predicted model, not a curated record. NCBI's taxonomy places the organism in Eukaryota, Viridiplantae, Streptophyta, Magnoliopsida, Myrtales, Myrtaceae.